RNAcentral lists this ribosomal RNA (506 nucleotides) under uncultured bacterium. Its description in RNAcentral is "partial 16S ribosomal RNA". It matches the Rfam family "Bacterial small subunit ribosomal RNA", at positions 30 to 523 of the family's 1533-position model. The record is from RNAcentral.
AUUGAACGCUGGCGGCAGGCCUAACACAUGCAAGUCGAACGGUAACAGGAAGCAGCUUGCUGCUUCGCUGACGAGUGGCGGACGGGUGAGUAAUGUCUGGGAAACUGCCUGAUGGAGGGGGAUAACUACUGGAAACGGUAGCUAAUACCGCAUAACGUCGCAAGACCAAAGAGGGGGACCUUCGGGCCUCUUGCCAUCGGAUGUGCCCAGAGGGGAUUAGCUAGUAGGUGGGGUAACGGCUCACCUAGGCGACGAUCCCUAGCUGGUCUGAGAGGAUGACCAGCCACACUGGAACUGAGACACGGUCCAGACUCCUACGGGAGGCAGCAGUGGGGAAUAUUGCACAAUGGGCGCAAGCCUGAUGCAGCCAUGCCGCGUGUAUGAAGAAGGCCUUCGGGUUGUAAAGUACUUUCAGCGGGGAGGAAGGGAGUAAAGUUAAUACCUUUGCUCAUUGACGUUACCCGCAGAAGAAGCACCGGCUAACUCCGUGCCAGCAGCCGCCGCGG